AUACGGGGGGGGCGAGCGUUGUCCGGAAUCAUUGGGCGUAAAGGGUGAGGAGGCGGGAUGGUAAGUCAGAGGUGAAAGUCCAGGGCUCAACUCUGGAUCUGCCUCUGAUACUGCUGUCCUUGAGUGCGGGAGAGGGAAGUGGAAUUCCCGGUGUAGCGGUGAAAUGCGUAGAUAUCGGGAAGAACACCAGUGGCGAAGGCGGCUUCCUGGCCCGCAACUGACGCUGAAUCACGAAAGCGUGGGGAGCAAACAGGAUUAGAUACCCUAGUAGUCC
This 274-nucleotide ribosomal RNA is filed under the name uncultured bacterium. Its description in RNAcentral is "partial 16S ribosomal RNA". It matches the Rfam family "Bacterial small subunit ribosomal RNA", at positions 523 to 796 of the family's 1533-position model. The record is from RNAcentral.